GAUGAACGUUGGCGGCGUGCCUAAUACAUGCAAGUCGAACGGAGAAUUUGAUGUAGCAAUACAUUGAAUUUCUUAGUGGCGAACGGGUGAGUAACGCGUUGGUGACCUACCCCAAAGAGCGGGAUAACGGUUUGAAAAGACCGCUAAUACCUCAUGUGAUCAUAUGGAUUAGAAGCCUAAUGAUUAAAGGAGCUUGCUCCGCUUUGGGAGGGGCCAGCGUACCAUCAGCUGGUUGGUGGGGUAACGGCCUACCAAGGCGAAGACGGGUAGCCGGUCUGAGAGGAUGAUCAGCCACAAUGGGACUGAGACACGGCCCAUACUCCUACGGGAGGCAGCAGUGGGGAAUUUUACGCAAUGGGCGAAAGCCUGACGUAGCGACACCGCGUGAGCGAAGAAGCCCCUUGGGGUGUAAAGCUCUGUCAGCUGGAACGAAAAAAUAGACGGUACCAGCAGAGGAAGCAUCGGCUAACUACGUGCCAGCAGCCGCGGUAAGCUCGUCUCUA
Molecule: ribosomal RNA, 503 nt
Filed under: uncultured bacterium
Lineage: Bacteria
Description: bacterial SSU rRNA
Rfam family: Bacterial small subunit ribosomal RNA
Source: RNAcentral